RNAcentral lists this long non-coding RNA (678 nucleotides) under Homo sapiens (human). RNAcentral's name for it is "HSALNT0089420". The record is from RNAcentral. Lineage: Eukaryota; Metazoa; Chordata; Mammalia; Primates; Hominidae.
UCUGAAUGCAUCUUUUUCUCCCCCUGUAGCAUGAAGAGCAGUUCGCGGUAUCCGGUAGAUAGGAAGCACAAAUAGAAACGAAAAUGGACGGCCAUAUGUCACAAGAGAAUGAAAUCUUUGCUCCCAAUCCCUGUCUUCAGAGCUGACCUAGAAGCCAGCCACUCCACUCAGACCCAAUUCGGAUCACUAUGUUCGUGAGGACUUUAACAGCAUCAGACUAACUCUGGACUGUACAUGAACACCAGCAAUGAAGAGGAAGGAAACUUUGAAAAAUGUUAUACACUGGAGGAUUGGCUUUACUGUGGCUAUCUUUUAUGUCAACCCUGAAAUCUGUCUUUAUUAUUAAAAGAAGUUUAAUUUCAAAGGAUGGCUCCCCUUUAAAAUGGUUCUUGGGUGUUGACACUGGAUGCAGAAGCAGAACUUACACAGUCUGAACAAACGGGUGGUUAGAAAAGAUUGUUUCAAGCCUCUGUGUUCCUAAGAUCAUGGCUAAAUUUCCCAAAUUCUGAAUUGAGGUGAAAGGUCAGAGAAAGAGUUCAUUUGGAAUGGGAUCUAGAGGUGUCCCUAAGGAAAGAAAGGUUGGCUGGAUCUGGUGAUUUAGGAGAAAUCCAGUCUGCUCUCACCUGCUGCCAUCUGCCAUCUGCUUCUGCUCCAUCUUCCCAGUCUCAGGGGAUCCCC